Molecule: ribosomal RNA, 148 nt
Filed under: uncultured ectomycorrhiza (Basidiomycota)
Lineage: Eukaryota; Fungi; Basidiomycota
Description: partial 28S ribosomal RNA
Rfam family: Eukaryotic large subunit ribosomal RNA
Source: RNAcentral
ACAUCAACCUUGACCUCAAAUCGGGUGAGACUACCCGCUGAACUUAAGCAUAUCAAUAAGCGGAGGAAAAGAAACUAACAAGGGAUUCCCCUAGUAACUGCGAGUGAAGCGGGAAAAGCUCAAAUUUAAAAUGUGGUGGUCUUUGGCC